UCUGAUUAGCUAGUUGGUAGGGUAAAAGCCUACCAAGGCAUCGAUCAGUAACUGGUCUGAGAGGAUGACCAGUCACACUGGGACUGAGACACGGCCCAGACUCCUACGGGAGGCAGCAGUGGGGAAUUUUCCGCAAUGGGCGAAAGCCUGACGGAGCAAUACCGCGUGAGGGAGGAAGGCUCUUGGGUUGUAAACCUCUUUUCUCAGGGAAGAAGUCUGACGGUACCUGAGGAAUCAGCAUCGGCUAACUCCGUGCCAGCAGCCGCGGUAAUACGGAGGAUGCAAGCGUUAUCCGGAAUGAUUGGGCGUAAAGCGUCCGCAGGUGGCUGCUUCAAGUCUGCUGUCAAAGCUCAGGGCUUAACCCUGAAUCGGCGGUGGAAACUGAACAGCUAGAGUGCGGUAGGGGCAGAGGGAAUUCCCAGUGUAGCGGUGAAAUGCGUAGAGAUUGGGAAGAACACCGGUGGCGAAAGCGCUCUGCUGGACCGCAACUGACACUCAUGGACGAAAGCUAGGGGAGCGAAUGGGAUUAGAUACCCCAGUAGUCCUAGCCGU
Molecule: ribosomal RNA, 552 nt
Filed under: uncultured cyanobacterium
Lineage: Bacteria; Bacillati; Cyanobacteriota
Description: bacterial SSU rRNA
Rfam family: Bacterial small subunit ribosomal RNA
Source: RNAcentral